AUUGAACGCUGGCGGCAGGCCUAACACAUGCAAGUCGAGCGGAUGAAGGGAGCUUGCUCCUGGAUUCAGCGGCGGACGGGUGAGUAAUGCCUAGGAAUCUGCCUGGUAGUGGGGGAUAACGUCCGGAAACGGGCGCUAAUACCGCAUACGUCCUGAGGGAGAAAGUGGGGGAUCUUCGGACCUCACGCUAUCAGAUGAGCCUAGGUCGGAUUAGCUAGUUGGUGGGGUAAAGGCCUACCAAGGCGACGAUCCGUAACUGGUCUGAGAGGAUGAUCAGUCACACUGGAACUGAGACACGGUCCAGACUCCUACGGGAGGCAGCAGUGGGGAAUAUUGGACAAUGGGCGAAAGCCUGAUCCAGCCAUGCCGCGUGUGUGAAGAAGGUCUUCGGAGUGUAAAGCACGUUAAGUUGGGAGGAAGGGCAGUAAGUUAAUACCUUGCUGUUUUGACGUUACCAACAGAAUAAGCACCGGCUAACUUCGUG
Molecule: ribosomal RNA, 484 nt
Filed under: uncultured bacterium
Lineage: Bacteria
Description: partial 16S ribosomal RNA
Rfam family: Bacterial small subunit ribosomal RNA
Source: RNAcentral